This 433-nucleotide ribosomal RNA is filed under the name uncultured bacterium. RNAcentral describes it as "partial 16S ribosomal RNA". It matches the Rfam family "Bacterial small subunit ribosomal RNA", at positions 29 to 507 of the family's 1533-position model. The record is from RNAcentral.
AACGAACGCUGGCGGCAUGCCUAACACAUGCAAGUCGAACGAGACCUUCGGGUCUAGUGGCGCACGGGUGCGUAACGCGUGGGAACCUGCCCUUAGGUUCGGAAUAACUCCCCGAAAGGGGUGCUAAUACCGGAUAAUGUCUUCGGACCAAAGAUUUAUCGCCUUUGGAUGGGCCCGCGUUGGAUUAGCUAGUUGGUAGGGUAAAAGCCUACCAAGGCGACGAUCCAUAGCUGGUCUGAGAGGAUGAUCAGCCACACUGGGACUGAGACACGGCCCAGACUCCUACGGGAAGCAGCAGUGGGGAAUAUUGGACAAUGGGCGAAAGCCUGAUCCAGCAAUGCCGCGUGAGUGAUGAAGGCCUUAGGGUUGUAAAGCUCUUUUACCCGGGAUGAUAAUGACUGUACCGGGAGAAUAAGCUCCGGCUAACUCCGUG